GGCAGUGGUGGCUCAGUGGUUAAGGCUCUGGGUUACUAUUCAGUAGGUCAGGUGUUCAAGCCCCAGCACUGCCA
This is a non-coding RNA of Pangasius djambal, 74 nucleotides long. The record is from the annotation of a GenBank genome assembly. NCBI's taxonomy places the organism in Eukaryota, Metazoa, Chordata, Actinopteri, Siluriformes, Pangasiidae.